AUGAACGCUGGCGGCGUGCUUAACACAUGCAAGUCGAACGGAAAGGCCCAAGCUUGCUUGGGUACUCGAGUGGCGAACGGGUGAGUAACACGUGGGUGAUCUGCCCUGCACUUCGGGAUAAGCCUGGGAAACUGGGUCUAAUACUGGAUAGGACCACUUCUUGGAUGGUGUGGUGGAAAGUUUUUUCGGUGUGGGAUGAGCUCGCGGCCUAUCAGCUUGUUGGUGGGGUAAUGGCCUACCAAGGCGUCGACGGGUAGCCGGCCUGAGAGGGUGUACGGCCACAUUGGGACUGAGAUACGGCCCAGACUCCUACGGGAGGCAGCAGUGGGGAAUAUUGCACAAUGGGCGCAAGCCUGAUGCAGCGACGCCGCGUGGGGGAUGACGGCCUUCGGGUUGUAAACUCCUUUCGCUAGGGACGAAGCGUUUUUGUGACGGUACCUGGAGAAGAAGCACCGGCUAACUACGUG
Molecule: ribosomal RNA, 467 nt
Filed under: uncultured bacterium
Lineage: Bacteria
Description: partial 16S ribosomal RNA
Rfam family: Bacterial small subunit ribosomal RNA
Source: RNAcentral